RNAcentral lists this long non-coding RNA (1442 nucleotides) under Equus asinus (donkey). Its description in RNAcentral is "lncRNA (ENSEASG00005037832.1)". Lineage: Eukaryota; Metazoa; Chordata; Mammalia; Perissodactyla; Equidae. The record is from RNAcentral.
CUCCCAUUGUGGCCACGAGAUAGCUGCUGUGGCUGCAGACAGCACAUCCUCUCUGCUCCAACUCGGGAGCCUCUGCCCCGUGUCCCAUCGAAAAGUGUCAUGGGUUCUCAUUGGUUCUGACUGGGGCACAUACCCACCUGGGUCACUUCAUAUGGCCUGGGGAAUCCAGUGGACUGGCUUAGGACAGGGUCAUGUGCUCCCCUGGGGAGGGAGAUUGAGAGUGGAGCAGGGGUGACAUCCCCACAAGAAUCAGGAUGCAGUUUGCAGGAGAAGAGAAAAUCAGUGCUGGAAAGCCAAAAAAAAGCAACAAGGCAACAUUACUACUGUUCAUAACAACAGUUGUAAGUCACUCUCAGCCUCACACUUGCUGGGUCCUGUGUAUCCCCACCCCACUGGGCUUGAGACCUUCGAUAGCGAAGAGGAGUUCUGCUCUGCCAACAGAAAAACCGGAGGCAGCAGGGGAGGGAGGAGCUGGCUGUUCCUCCUCAACCCAAGUUGGCUGCUCCCUGCGCAGGGAGGUUGGCACCUGCGGGCCCGGGGUCUCCGCGGGGAAGCUGGCCCAGGCGCCUGCUCCGGGCAGCUGUGGCCGUAACUCUCCACCUCAGUCAGCUCGGCUGCUGUGACAGAAUCUCACAGACGGGCGGCUCAGACAUCAGCCGUUCACUCCUCACAGCCCCGGAGGCUGCGGGUCCAGGACCAAGGUGGCCGCCCGCUCCUUGCCAGGUGAGAACCCACUUCCUUGCUGCGUCCUCGCUGCAUGUGGGGAGAGAGCAGGCUCCCUGGUGUCUCUUCUUACCGGGACACUGAGUCCAUCCUGAAUGACGUCCUCGGAGGCCCAUCUCCACAGACAGCCACCCCGGGUGCACACAGAGGGCCAGUUGGAAGCGGCUGAGAGUUAUGCCCUGGACAGACGUGGUCUCAAUGAGGAAAUACCGCAGCUCCCUUGUUCUUCAUCGGCGACGAUUUGGAGGAACCUUCUGCACUGUCUCCCGGAGGUCCUCAGUGGGAUUAAGCCCCAGUGGCCCAUAGCAGUGACCUGCUCCUGAAGCACCCUGCUGGCUCCCUUCCCUGCCCUGACUCCCUUCCUGUCUCCCCAAGUGUUUCCUGGGAUCAUCUCCAAAAUCCAUGACUUGCACUUGAAUCGUUGUCUUAGAAAUUGCUUCUGGGGGAGACCAACAAAGACACCCCUCAUGCCUCAGACAGCAGUCGAUGUGACCAGCAGCUGAGGGUUCUGAUUUGGGGAAGGGAUUUACAAAAUUCUCAGACUUUCUUAUCAUCUGCUUGAAUGACAUCCUUAUCGGUCUAGAGCCUGACACAGACCAAGGCGUGUCUUUAAUGCGGGGUAAUCACCUCUCUCCUGUGUUUCUUGUGACUGAGCGUGCUAUUUAUUAGUUUUUCCUUUAUAUUCAGCCAUUGCUCUUGAAAUAAACUCACUGUAUCAG